UCUAUUUAUAAGCACUAGCAACUGCAUCAAUCGCCAAUCGGUGCUUUUCAGAAGUUAAUGCUUAAGCUGUUCAUGAUGCACUUCCUCCAGAAUAGGAAUAAAUCCCUGCGAUGCUUCGCAAAAUGAAAUGGGCCCACAUGGUGCAUUUUCUCAAGCUCCAUGCCAUUUCCUAGGUGGACCUUAUUAGGCAAAAUCAUCAACCACCAUUCUCCAUAAUC
RNAcentral lists this long non-coding RNA (218 nucleotides) under Elaeis guineensis (African oil palm). RNAcentral's name for it is "long non-coding RNA (EGUI_LNC043002)". The record is from RNAcentral. Lineage: Eukaryota; Viridiplantae; Streptophyta; Magnoliopsida; Arecales; Arecaceae.